CACCUUUUGAGAUUCUUCGGAUGAUCGAUCGGUGACUGAGUGGCGGACGGGUGAGUAACGCGUGGGUAACCUGCCCUGUACAGGGGGGAUAACAGCUGGAAACGGCUGCUAAUACCGCAUAAGCGCACGAGGAGACAUCUCCUUGUGUGAAAAACUCCGGUGGUACAGGAUGGGCCCGCGUCUGAUUAGCUGGUUGGCAGGGUAACGGCCUACCAAGGCAACGAUCAGUAGCCGGUCUGAGAGGAUGAACGGCCACAUUGGAACUGAGACACGGUCCAAACUCCUACGGGAGGCAGCAGUGGGGAAUAUUGCACAAUGGGGGAAACCCUGAUGCAGCAACGCCGCGUGAGUGAAGAAGUAUUUCGGUAUGUAAAGCUCUAUCAGCAGGGAAGAUAAUGACGGUACCUGACUAAGAAGCUCCGGCUAAAUACGUGCCAGCAGCCGCGGUAAUACGUAUGGAGCAAGCGUUAUCCGGAUUUACUGGGUGUAAAGGGUGCGUAGGUGGCAGUGCAAGUCAGAUGUGAAAGGCCGGGGCUCAACCCCGGAGCUGCAUUUGAAACUGCAUAGCUAGAGUACAGGAGAGGCAGGCGGAAUUCCUAGUGUAGCGGUGAAAUGCGUAGAUAUUAGGAGGAACACCAGUGGCGAAGGCGGUCUGCUGGACUGUUACUGACACUGAGGCACGAAAGCGUGGGGAGCAAACAGGAUUAGAUACCCUGGUAGUCCACGUCGUAAACGAUGAAUACUAGGUGUCGGGGCCGUAUAGGCUCCGGUGCCGCCGCAAACGCAGUAAGUAUUCCACCUGGGGAGUACGUUCGCAAGAAUGAAACUCAAAGGAAUUGACGGGGACCCGCACAAGCGGUGG
This 862-nucleotide ribosomal RNA is filed under the name uncultured bacterium. Its description in RNAcentral is "bacterial SSU rRNA". It matches the Rfam family "Bacterial small subunit ribosomal RNA", at positions 64 to 935 of the family's 1533-position model. The record is from RNAcentral.